This is a long non-coding RNA of Populus euphratica (Euphrates poplar), 404 nucleotides long. RefSeq lists it as uncharacterized. The record is from RefSeq and is a predicted model, not a curated record. Lineage: Eukaryota; Viridiplantae; Streptophyta; Magnoliopsida; Malpighiales; Salicaceae. The transcript has 3 exons.
UUCACUUGUUAUCAGGGAUGCAUCAGAAGCACCAGCAACACCUAGUAGACAGCCCUGGAGGUCUAAGAAAGAUGGAUUUAGCAGUGGAACAAGGGGAUCAAAACCUAGGUGGUUAAGGCCAAAUAAUAAUUAAUGUGGUUGCUCUACAAGUUCUUGAAUGGAAGUUGCAGCUGUCUGACUGAAUAAUGAAGUCCUCCCUACUUGUUGCAUGGCUAUAUAUUUGUUUAACUAUGUCAACCUAUGCUAAGUCUAAUUAUGUUGCAAAAGGGUUGUAAAAAUUAAUGAAGAUAUUUUUCCUUUCUAGUUUCAGGCAUCAAUUCAAUGUUAAUGUUUUGAUUUUAGAUGAGCUAAAGAGGAGAAAUAUACAGUGGGAAUCAAAUAUGAGAUGACGAUCAUCUCCUAAA